CUAAACAUGGCCUUGCCUCCUACUCAAUGGAGAAACUGGGCACCAUCAGAAGGAGCUGCCACAUACCCUCAGACUCACCAAACAGUCUGCUUCUUACCCCAGUGUAAGCACUGAACAGGCAGGUGGGUGUAUGGGUCUGAGACUGAGGAGAGCUGGCCUGUAGACACAGGUUUGGAAAUCUUCAACAAAAAGACAAUAAUGAGAUCACCCAGGGGAUGUGUGUGAGGUAAAAAGAGCCUAGUUUUUGAACUCUAGAGGACAUCGAUGUUUGUGAACAAGAGAUAUCUGUAAGGGAGACUGGAAAAGAGCAGCCAGAGAGAUCACAAAACCCAGGAGCAUGUGGGUCAGAGAAAUCAAUGGAAGGAAGUGGUCAGCUGACAUGAUAAUGACUGGCGUGUCCUGUGAACCAGAAACAUGGAGGUCUUUAACCAUCUUUGUUAGAGCAGUUCUGUGCAGUAUUAGAUGAAGAUGCCAGACUUCUGUUAACUUGAGUGUGACUGGAAAAUCAUUCUGUGGAAAGCACAAGGACUCCUAGAAGCCUCUGAGGAAGCAGAGAUAGCAAGUAUAAGGUACUCUGCCAAGGAUGUCUAUGCAUGAAGGAAGGAGAGAGAUCUAGUGGUUGCCUUGGGGAGAUGCUGGUUUAGUGGAGAGUUCUAAUGAAGAUAACAGCCAUGUCAUUUGGGCAUGCUUAAGACUGUAGAAAGGCAGCCAGAAGAGUGGAGAGAUGACCAAGCAGCUAGUUAGUAGAGGGAGCACCAUCCCCUGGAAGAGAGGUUGGCUGUGUCCAGAAGAGGGGCUCCUCCUUGUGAUGGGGUGUCUUUUAGUCACCUGAAACCCCAAAGCCCAAGCCUGCUUUUCCUCCAGUCUCCUUACUCCAGCAAGUGGCAUUACCAUUCCCCCUAUUCCUUUAUCCAGGCAGUCAUCCUGCUGAUUCUGUCUCAUUAAUGGUCCUCAAAUCAAUUCAUUGCUUUCCACCCUCAAUGCCAUGAUCCACAGUCAUUUUUCCCAUGGUCUUCAGCAGCAGCUCUAACUGACCUCUUCGCAUCUUCUCUUGUUGCCCAUCAAUCUUCCAGAGAGCUGUUUCCAAUAUACAAAUCGAAUCCUGUCACUCCUUGUUUUGAAAACCAUUCACCACUUCCAAAUCUGUUGACAUGGCUAACUAGGCCUUCAGGAUCUAUGACACACACCCUCUUCCUGCCCCUUCUUCUCCAGCCUUGCCUCUCACCAUUCCCCAGUGCCUCUCACCAUUUCCCAGUGCCUCUCACCAUUUCCCAGUGCCCCUCACCAUUCCCCAGUGCCCCUCACCAUUUCCCAGUGCCCCUCACCAUUCCCCAGUGCCUCUCACCAUUUCCCAGUGCCUCUCACCAUUCCCCAGUGCCUCUCACCAUUUCCCAGUGCCUCUCACCAUUUCCCAGUGCCUCUCACCAUUUCCCAGUGCCCCU
Molecule: long non-coding RNA, 1442 nt
Filed under: Homo sapiens (human)
Lineage: Eukaryota; Metazoa; Chordata; Mammalia; Primates; Hominidae
Description: non-protein coding lnc-NPSR1-3:1
Source: RNAcentral